AACGAACGCUGGCGGCAUGCCUAACACAUGCAAGUCGAACGAAACCUUCGUGCCUAUUUGCGCACGGGGGCGUAACGCGUGGUAACCUACCCGUGGGUUCGGAAUAACUCCCCUAAAGGGAUGUUCAUACCGGAUAAUGUCUUCCGACCAAAGAUUUAUCGCCUUUGGAUGGGCCCGGGUUGGAUUAGCUGGUUGGUAGGGUAAAAGCCUACCAAGGCGACGAUGCUUGGCUGGUGUGAGAGCAGGAUAAGCCACACUGGGACUGAGACCCGGCCCAGACCCGUACGGGAGGGAGGAGUAGGGAAUACUGGGCGCGGGGCGAAAGUCUAGUCAAGCAAUGCCGGGUGAGUGGUGAAGGCCUUAGGGUUGUACAGCCCUUUUACACGGGAUGAUAAUGACAGUACCGGGAGAAUAAGCUCCGGCUAACUACGUG
This 433-nucleotide ribosomal RNA is filed under the name uncultured bacterium. RNAcentral describes it as "partial 16S ribosomal RNA". It matches the Rfam family "Bacterial small subunit ribosomal RNA", at positions 29 to 507 of the family's 1533-position model. The record is from RNAcentral.